Molecule: non-coding RNA, 89 nt
Organism: Pelobates cultripes (western spadefoot toad)
Lineage: Eukaryota; Metazoa; Chordata; Amphibia; Anura; Pelobatidae
Source: the annotation of a GenBank genome assembly
UGUUUGUAUAGUGUGUGUAUAUAAUGCAGUGUGUUUGUGUAGUGUGCAUUAUAUAAACACACUGCAUUAUAUACACACACUAUACAAAC